This 77-nucleotide transfer RNA is filed under the name Hyphomicrobiaceae bacterium TMED74. RNAcentral describes it as "tRNA-Leu". It matches the Rfam family "tRNA". Rfam says of the family: Transfer RNA (tRNA) molecules are approximately 80 nucleotides in length. Their secondary structure includes four short double-helical elements and three loops (D, anti-codon, and T loops). The record is from RNAcentral. Lineage: Bacteria; Pseudomonadati; Pseudomonadota; Alphaproteobacteria; Hyphomicrobiales; Hyphomicrobiaceae. RNAcentral also lists the same sequence under 1 other name.
GCGCGCUUAGCCCAACCGGAAGAGGCACCGAGCUUAAGACUCGGCUUGUGUCGGUUCGAAUCCGACAGCGCGCACCA